CUUAGCUUGCUAAGACUGAUGGCGACCGGCGCACGGGUGCGUAACGCGUAUGCAACUUGCCUCACAGAGGGGGAUAACCCGUCGAAAGACGGACUAAUACCGCGUACACUUGGGAUAGGGCAUCCUGACCCAAGGAAAUGAAAUUCGCUGUGAGAUAGGCAUGCGUCCCAUUAGCUAGUUGGUGAGGUAACGGCUCACCAAGGCGACGAUGGGUAGGGGAACUGAGAGGUUGAACCCCCACACUGGUACUGAGACACGGACCAGACUCCUACGGGAGGCAGCAGUGAGGAAUAUUGGUCAAUGGGCGAGAGCCUGAACCAGCCAAGUCGCGUGAAGGAUGACUGUCUUAUGGAUUGUAAACUUCUUUUAUACGGGAAUAACAAGAGUCACGUGUGGCUCCCUGCAUGUACCGUAUGAAUAAGCAUCGGCUAACUCCGUGCCAGCAGCCGCGGUAAUACGGAGGAUGCGAGCGUUAUCCGGAUUUAUUGGGUUUAAAGGGUGCGUAGGCGGCCUGUUAAGUCAGCGGUGAAAUCUAGGAGCUUAACUCCUAAAUUGCCAUUGAUACUGGCGGGCUUGAGUGUAGAUGAGGUAGGCGGAAUGCGUGGUGUAGCGGUGGAAUGCAUAGAUAUCACGCAGAACUCCGAUUGCGAAGGCAGCUUACUAAGGUACAACUGACGCUGAAGCACGAAAGCGUGGGUAUCAAACAGGAUUAGAUACCCUGGUAGUCCACGCAGUAAACGAUGAU
This 745-nucleotide ribosomal RNA is filed under the name uncultured Porphyromonadaceae bacterium. RNAcentral's name for it is "bacterial SSU rRNA". It matches the Rfam family "Bacterial small subunit ribosomal RNA", at positions 74 to 813 of the family's 1533-position model. The record is from RNAcentral. Lineage: Bacteria; Pseudomonadati; Bacteroidota; Bacteroidia; Bacteroidales; Porphyromonadaceae.